This 222-nucleotide ribosomal RNA is filed under the name uncultured fungus. RNAcentral's name for it is "partial small subunit ribosomal RNA". The record is from RNAcentral. Lineage: Eukaryota; Fungi.
GAGCGAGAACGGGCGGUCCGGGUCGCAAGGCCCGAGCACUGCACAAAAACCGGUCUCGUUCUUCCUUCUGGUCGCGCCGGUCGGCUUCGGUUGGCCGGUGACGCCGGAUCGGUUACUUUGAGCAAAUUAGAGUGUUCAAAGCAGGCGUUUUGCCUUGAAUACGUUAGCAUGGAAUAACAGAAUUGGCUUCGGCUGGAUUUUGUUGGUUUCGAGAGUCGAGGA